CAGUCGCCACGGUAAUACGUAGGGUGCAAGCGUUAAUCGGAAUUACUGGGCGUAAAGCGUGCGCAGGCGGUGUUGUAAGACUGAUGUGAAAUCCCCGGGCUCAACCUGGGAACUGCAUUGGUGACUGCAGCGCUGGAGUGCGGCAGAGGGGGAUGGAAUUCCGCGUGUAGCAGUGAAAUGCGUAGAUAUGCGGAGGAACACCGAUGGCGAAGGCAAUCCCCUGGGCCUGCACUGACGCUCAUGCACGAACGCGUGGGGAGCAAACAGGAUUAGAUACCCCCGUAGUCCCUGUCUCUUAUAC
RNAcentral lists this ribosomal RNA (301 nucleotides) under uncultured bacterium. RNAcentral describes it as "partial 16S ribosomal RNA". It matches the Rfam family "Bacterial small subunit ribosomal RNA", at positions 509 to 807 of the family's 1533-position model. The record is from RNAcentral.